AUUGAACGCUGGCGGCAUGCUUUACACAUGCAAGUCGAACGGCAGCGCGGGCUUCGGCCUGGCGGCGAGUGGCGAACGGGUGAGUAAUGCAUCGGAACGUGCCCAGUAGUGGGGGAUAGCCCGGCGAAAGCCGGAUUAAUACCGCAUACGACCUGAGGGUGAAAGCGGGGGACCGAAAGGCCUCGCGCUAUUGGAGCGGCCGAUGUCGGAUUAGCUAGUUGGUGGGGUAAAGGCUUACCAAGGCGACGAUCCGUAGCUGGUCUGAGAGGACGACCAGCCACACUGGGACUGAGACACGGCCCAGCCUCCUACGGGAGGCAGCAGUGGGGAAUUUUGGACAAUGGGGGCAACCCUGAUCCAGCCAUGCCGCGUGCGGGAAGAAGGCCUUCGGGUUGUAAACCGCUUUUGUUCGGGAAGAAAUCCUCUGGGCUAAUACCCCGGGGGGAUGACGGUACCGGAAGAAUAAGCACCGGCUAACUACGUG
This 484-nucleotide ribosomal RNA is filed under the name uncultured bacterium. Its description in RNAcentral is "partial 16S ribosomal RNA". It matches the Rfam family "Bacterial small subunit ribosomal RNA", at positions 28 to 507 of the family's 1533-position model. The record is from RNAcentral.